GCGAUCGCCAUCGCGCAAGCGGGCAGCACGCGUUGGUUUGGCCGAACCUUAAAGCACGCCGAUUCCAAAGCUACUUGUAGUACCCACGCAAAUGUCAACUUUUUGAUUUGUUAUGAUACGAUGUAUGUUUUGAACCUGAGACUGCGGCAACCUUCAACCUUGUCUUAAAUGAUAGUUGUUCCACAAAAACGUAUUUUGAAUGCUAAUAAUCAACUAUAGACUAUAGAUACUAGCUGGUAGGUAGGACAAGGGAAACCUGUAUGAUUUUAUUGAUGGAUGUACUCCCAAACAUGAAAUGGAUUGGGCAAACCCCUUCGUUGAUUUGGCCCUCUUGCCUAUCUGAUUCAGACUCCAUGAUCUUUUUUGUAAAUAAGUAUAUUUUAGCAGUAGCAUAGCGUGCCUUAAAUGGGCGCUGUACCAAAAUUUGUUGGGGGCACUUUCAUCUAAAAAGGUCAUUAGAAAGGGAUCAACGGAAACAUUUUUAUUCAGAAAGAAUUAACCUUCACGCGAAGCCCCUAAGUUGCCUACUGGAAGCAACAGUAGCUUGGAGGCCCCGUAACAUUGACAUGGUAGCUACGUCCCUGAUGCUUAGGUGUGACAUGACAGCAUUUACAUCGCCAGGCUGCCUGUCCAGUGAAGCGGCAGCCAAUAGGAAAGCGCACAGACGGCCGCUCCGUGAGCGGUGUUUCAAACAAUUCCAUAGGUUAAAGAUUUGCCAUCUAUCCUAUCUGCUCCGCUCCAGUAGACAGCCAGACUCUACAGGGUUGUUUGUUGCGAAAUCUUAAACAGAAUUUAUUAAAAGAAUGUUUGGCCAAUACAAUCAGUCUUUCUGACACUUGACUCAUUAAAACCUGCCCGGAAUCCUGUCAAGCUUGGAAAAAAACACUGUAACGAAAUUGAUUAUGUACUAACAUCUAAUGGCAUGUAUUUCUGUGAAAUAAAUGAAUUUGAAUUUGAUAUAACCUGGAGGCCAAGCUCUUCAAUAUUACUACUUACUUAGGCUGGGUUGCACCCUCUUACUUUAACUUUAACAAACGUCAAAAAUCUAUCAAACUCCAUACAAAAACACCGGUCAUCGUUGUAGUUACGGUUAAAGUAGAUGGUUCAACUAAGCCUUAGAUUGUUUUAGUCAUGGUAUGUCGUGUCCAAAUUAAAACAGCGAAACUUAAAAUAACACAAUAUUAAUUAGUGUUUUAAUGGUUUUAUUCCGAAUGAUAUCAGCGUGAUAUUUACAAAUUAUAAGAAAGUCACAAUUUUAAAAUAAUAGAUAAUUCAGUUUUUAUUUUUACCAAUUCUAUGUUCCAUGCUAUGAUACAAUGCGUACUAUAGUAAUUUAUCAAUUCAAAAUCGAUAUUUCACUUAAAGAAAUAAAGGAUAUUGGCUUUUUUGUUUAUUCAUUAAUUAUUUUCUACCAUAAUUAUGGAACAUACAACUGAUGAUUCGAAAAAAAACUGGUGUGUGUUUAUUUAAAACUUCUCCUGUUUAUGAUAGUCGUAUUUACUAAAUAACAAAGCUGCAUACAUUUUAUUGCAAUAUACCAUGGAAUAAAAAGUUAUAUAAACCUUAACAUUUACUUAUAAAAAUAAUUUAUUUAAAUAAGCAUUACAAUAAUAAUUAUUUCACAAAUAUCAACUAUAACUGAGGAUAUACGCUAAUUCAUUUCAUAACGUGUAAAUCGCUCUCGUAAAAUAUUGUUAACAAAGCAUAAUAAGGAAUGAUAGUUUAAAAACCGUGGUCAGAUCUCGUUUAUUCAAGAGUAGGCGCACACCGUUGAUUUUUAGUUGGCCGAUAGUUGUGCCCGAUUUUAAAUUGUAUGAAGAAUCGGCCAAAUCGAAUCGGCGUAGUGUGCGCAAUCCCAUACAUGCCCAUACUGAUCAACUGCCCGACUAAACUAUCGGCCGACGAAAAAUCAACGGUGUGCGCCUACUCAAAAUGUUUACAAUUUAGAUAACAUUCAACUAUACCAGUUUUUCUUCAUUAUCUAAAUCGGCAAACUCUCAAUAAACUGUCUGCAUGAACGUCCUGUUAUAUCGUAAUGUAAGCUAGCAGUGAUAAACUCACUAAUAAGUAGGUAUUUACGACAGAUAAGAUUUCACUCUUAAGCACUAAGUAAAUAAAUAAUAGUUACUAUCGUACAAGGACCGCGGCAGGUUUCAGAGACACUUAAUUAAAAUUAUAUAAUUAAUUACAUCAUAUUACACAGUUGUAAUUUUCAUUUCGGGUGACGUUUCAAGGACCCAAAAUUUUGAAUAAAAAAUAAAGAGAAAAUAAUGGCCUCUUGAAUUUCAAUAACUUGAUGGAUUUUUACAUUAAAUUUAUUAGGUACGUGAAACGUCCCGCGGUCAAGCGCUAUAUACAAUACAACAUAGGGUUAAGCCUCGUCCACAUUAGGGCACAUUUGUUUCGGCAACGUUGCGAUUGCAUGAACAU
Long non-coding RNA from Ostrinia nubilalis (European corn borer), 2430 nucleotides. RefSeq lists it as uncharacterized. The record is from RefSeq and is a predicted model, not a curated record. Lineage: Eukaryota; Metazoa; Arthropoda; Insecta; Lepidoptera; Crambidae. The transcript has 2 exons.